GAGCCUUUUGAGUUUUUGUUGACACUUCUAAUUGCAGGAUGAAAGCAGCACAAAUUGUCCUGAUCAGGGAGCCAUGACAUGCCACGACCCCCAGAGCUCCCCAACGGCCUGAGAGGGAGGCACCCAAUUCUCUUGCACUCAAGCCGCAGCAGCUCGUGGCCACUGGGCCCCUGAGAGCCACAUGCCUCAGCUCCCCAGCUCCAGCCUCCUUUCAAAGGCCCUUUAUUAAACCACCAACUAUUUGCUGUCGAGACAUUUAGGAUGAAAUCAUUGUGUUAAACAAAUAAACGCAGCUUCGUCCAGAUUUCUGCUCUGGGAGCAGAGUAAGAAAAUAAUUUCUGUCUGCUCGCCACAAAAGCGGCUGGAAAGGCCCAAAGAAAAAUAUUAUUUUUACUCCAUUGUGUGAAAUAUUGUCCUGGAGGAUCUGACGCACUGAACGUUUGAAGAGUUUGUGCUGGCAGGUUUCAGGGGUCCCCCGGGCCGGCCCCCUGGGGUUGUUUUCUGCAUUAAUAAACUUAGCAUGAUGUGUGUUAAAA
Rhinolophus ferrumequinum (greater horseshoe bat) is the source of this 536-nucleotide long non-coding RNA. RefSeq lists it as uncharacterized. The transcript is spliced from 2 exons. The record is from RefSeq and is a predicted model, not a curated record. Lineage: Eukaryota; Metazoa; Chordata; Mammalia; Chiroptera; Rhinolophidae.